CGGGCCACCGCCCUUCCCCGCCCAAGGCAGCCCUGCGGGGUCUAAGUGGACGCGGGGCAGGCUCGGGCAGCCCCGGGACAGUGGAAAAGCGGCCCUCGGAUCGGCCGCCUACGUGUGACCUACCCGCCGCCGCCGCCGCGCCGGAGCUGGAGGGAGCCGUGAGGAGCCGGGUAAGGGCCGGAGCAGCCGGAGCCCGAGAGCGAGCCGAGGGGCGGGGCGCAGGGAGGCGCCGCUUCCUCGCCGCCCUCUUGAGGCCCGGCGCGAGGGCAGAGCACCGCCCCUACCCAGCGGGCGCCGCCGUCGAGGCCAAUAGGCGCGGGGCUAGGGCGGGCUGAGGACCGCCGCGAGCCAAUGGCAGCUGGCCUAGGCUCUUUGACCGCUCCCGGACGCGCCACGAGCGCGGGCCGUUGGGGGCAAGGCUCGUGGAGUGUGGACCGCUGCGCUCCAGCUCGCGGAAGCCGGGCGCACAGCGGAUUGACCCGCUGCCCCCGCUGUUCUGUAAGGCUGAUUCCCUUCAGAGCUUGGGCGUCUGGAGCGGGGAGGGUGGGAGCGCGGGGCCACGGGCCGGGCUGCUCUCAGGCCGCCUGCGGCUCUGUGAUGUAACCUGGCGCAGCUGCUCGCUGGGAGGAGCCAGGGGACCAGGCAGCUGGGGCAGCACCAGGGGUCGCUGCCACGAGCCGCCCUUGAAACGUGGCUGGUCCAAACUGAGAUGUGCGGGCCUGCUGGAAUACUACAGGAUAUUCUUUAGCAUCAUUGCCGGAGUUCCUGCCUUCAUCCCAGUGCCAGUGAGGACGAGGGUGGAAGGAUUUCCAGUGUUGCUGAAAACCGGACAAAACUUCGGCUGAAAACCGGACGAGACUUCAGAUCAAGCUAGCUGCCUGCAGAACUUACCUGAACUGUGAUUUAAGCUAGCUGCUUGCAGAACUUACCUGGACUGUGAACUUACCUGGACUGUGAUUUACCUGGACUGUGAGUUAAUCUAUUGAGACACUUCUUUACCUGGACUGAGACAACAAACUGUAAUCUACAACAAAUUGUAACUCGGUAUCUUUGCUAAAGGUGUCAUUGCUGGUAUAAUUUUUCCAAGGGCUUCUUGCAUGGAGCCAUCAAUUGGCUUGAUAUUGUGGCAUUUUGUAUCCUCCCCUUCUGCUUGUAGCAGAUUAUUUAUGGUGUUUGUGUAAAAACCACUAUGGUCGUUAUUUAAAUUAAAUAAAAGGGGGAAAUGUUAGGGUCUGUAAACAAGUCAAGACAGCGCCUGGUUUUGCCAGAGGGAGUGGUUUGUGAAGUAACACCAGCGAGCCAUUAAGUGUGGAGAUUCCUUAUUGGUUGACUGCUGUAUCUAGUUUAUGUUAAUUAAGAUAAGCUGUGUGUAAUGUAUAUAUACCCCUCCGGUCCUACAAUAAAAGGCUCCCACUCCUGCUGUA
Marmota monax (woodchuck) is the source of this 1424-nucleotide long non-coding RNA. RefSeq lists it as uncharacterized. The transcript has 2 exons. The record is from RefSeq and is a predicted model, not a curated record. NCBI's taxonomy places the organism in Eukaryota, Metazoa, Chordata, Mammalia, Rodentia, Sciuridae.